AACAGCUCAAAUUUGAAAUCUGGCUCUUUUAGAGUCCGAGUUGUAAUUUGCAGAGGGCGCUUUGGCUUUGGCAGCGGUCCAAGUUCCUUGGAACAGGACGUCACAGAGGGUGAGAAUCCCGUACGUGGUCGCUGGCUAUUGCCGUGUAGAGCCCCUUCGACGAGUCGAGUUGUUUGGGAAUGCAGCUCUAAAUGGGAGGUACAUUUCUUCUAAAGCUAAAUAUUGGCCAGAGACCGAUAGCGCACAAGUAGAGUGAUCGAAAGAUGAAAAGCACUUUGGAAAGAGAGUCAAACAGCACGUGAAAUUGUUGAAAGGGAAGCGCUUGCAGCCAGACUUGCUUACAGUUGCUCAUCCGGAUUUCUACCCGGUGCACUCUUCUGUAGGCAGGCCAGCAUCAGUUUGGGCGGUAGGAUAAAGGUCUCUGUC
This 426-nucleotide ribosomal RNA is filed under the name uncultured Dothideomycetes. RNAcentral's name for it is "LSU rRNA". It matches the Rfam family "Eukaryotic large subunit ribosomal RNA", at positions 103 to 533 of the family's 3401-position model. The record is from RNAcentral. Lineage: Eukaryota; Fungi; Ascomycota; Dothideomycetes.